This 253-nucleotide ribosomal RNA is filed under the name uncultured bacterium. Its description in RNAcentral is "partial 16S ribosomal RNA". It matches the Rfam family "Bacterial small subunit ribosomal RNA", at positions 524 to 776 of the family's 1533-position model. The record is from RNAcentral.
AACGUAGGAAGCGAGCGUUAUCCGGAUUUACUGGGCGUAAAGCGCGUGUAGGCGGUUUCGUAAGUUGGAUGUGAAAGCUCCUGGCUUAACUGGGAGAGGUCGUUCAAUACUGCGAGACUAGAGGAUGGGAGAGGGAAGUGGAAUUCCGGGUGUAGUGGUGAAAUGCGUAGAUAUCCGGAGGAACACCAGUGGCGAAAGCGGCUUCCUGGCCCAUAACUGACGCUCAGACGCGAAAGCUAGGGGAGCGAACGGG